RNAcentral lists this small nucleolar RNA (97 nucleotides) under Trichophyton rubrum BMU01672. Its description in RNAcentral is "CD-box snoRNA". Lineage: Eukaryota; Fungi; Ascomycota; Eurotiomycetes; Onygenales; Arthrodermataceae. The record is from RNAcentral.
AGUUCGACUGGACUAGAGCAUUGACUGAGGAGUGAUAUAUGCAAAAUCCCUUCUCGGGUGGCAAUUUUCAUGCAACCAUUUUUCACCUUUUAUGUGA